UGGGGAAUAUUGGACAAUGGGCGAAAGCCUGAUCCAGCCAUGCCGCGUGUGUGAAGAAGGUCUUCGGAUUGUAAAGCACUUUAAGUUGGGAGGAAGGGCAGUAAGCGAAUACCUUGCUGUUUUGACGUUACCGACAGAAUAAGCACCGGCUAACUCUGUGCCAGCAGCCGCGGUAAUACAGAGGGUGCAAGCGUUAAUCGGAAUUACUGGGCGUAAAGCGCGCGUAGGUGGUUCGUUAAGUUGAAUGUGAAAGCCCCGGGCUCAACCUGGGAACUGCAUCCAAAACUGGCGAGCUAGAGUAGGGCAGAGUGUGGUGGAAUUUCCUGUGUAGCGGUGAAAUGCGUAGAUAUGGGAAGGAGCACCAGUGGCGAAGGCGACCACCUGGGCUCAUACUGACACUGAGGUGCGAAAGCGUGGGGAGCAAACAGG
Molecule: ribosomal RNA, 429 nt
Filed under: Pseudomonadota bacterium
Lineage: Bacteria; Pseudomonadati; Pseudomonadota
Description: Proteobacteria bacterium partial 16S ribosomal RNA
Rfam family: Bacterial small subunit ribosomal RNA
Source: RNAcentral